This 197-nucleotide ribosomal RNA is filed under the name Phytophthora infestans T30-4. RNAcentral describes it as "18S ribosomal RNA". It matches the Rfam family "Eukaryotic small subunit ribosomal RNA", at positions 1637 to 1831 of the family's 1831-position model. Lineage: Eukaryota; Oomycota; Peronosporomycetes; Peronosporales; Peronosporaceae. The record is from RNAcentral.
UGCAUUGAUUACGUCCCUGCCCUUUGUACACACCGCCCGUCUCACCUACCGAUUGAAUGACUCGGUGAAAAAUUGGGACCGUGAGUCUGUUUGCUUUAUUGCGAGUGGAUUGAUGGGAACUUUUUUAAACCUCGCCAUUUAGAGGAAGGUGAAGUCGUAACAAGGUUUCCGUAGGUGAACCUGCGGAAGGAUCAUUA